This 1021-nucleotide long non-coding RNA is filed under the name Capra hircus (goat). RNAcentral describes it as "lncRNA (ENSCHIG00000008178.1)". The record is from RNAcentral. Lineage: Eukaryota; Metazoa; Chordata; Mammalia; Artiodactyla; Bovidae.
GGGUGGGGGGAGCUGAGACCUGAGGGGGGUCUGAGACCCAGGGAGGGGGCUGAGACACGGCCAUGGCGAGCGCCCUGGCCAUCGCAGAGUCUGACCCAGACAGCGCAUGCCCUCGGAGGCUGGGCUUCGGGAGGCUAGGAUCGCCGGUGGGGAGAUGGUGGCCUGCUGGUCUCCAGGAUGGUCCCCUGGGGGUACCGGAGCCCCCCGCGCUCCCCAGCCUGAGCCCGCCCACACCCCUCCUCUCAGCUUCAAGCGCUCCACGGAGGAGAGGGAGCAGAAGGUCCUGGUCCUGGAGGAGGCCUGGGCAGCGGCCCAGAAGCAGGCCAGCGAGCUGCGGGCAGGCCUGCGGGAGGCGGAGCGGGCGGCCGUGGACACCCAGCGGCAGCUCCAGGAGCUACGCAGACAGGUGACGACGCUGGAGGUAGAGAACCAGAGAAAGAGCCAGGAGCUGGUGCGGCUGCAGACCCGGGGCGCCCAGGAGCCGAGCCGGCAGGAGGCCCUGGCGCUGCAGACGCUGGUGGCUGAGGCGGAGGCCGCCCGCGAGGACGCGCAGAGGGAGGUCCGGAGGCUGCGGCGGAUGCUGGCAGAGGUGGAGGCCCGGGCCGAGACCCGGGAGAAGGACCUGGAGCGGCAGCUCUGCGAGAGCCGGGGGUCUGAGCGGGCCCUCUGGGCCGAGCUGCGUGGCGUCGCCCAGAAGCUGCAGCAGGCCAACGGCACGGCCGACAGCCUCCAGGUUCGCCUGGACGGGGCCUGCCACUGGGCCCGUGGCCUCGAACAGGAGCUGGCCCGGGCCAAGGGCGCCUGGCGGGAGGCAGAGGGCCAGCGGGGCCAGCUGUGGCCCACGCUCCACCCUGGCGUGGGGUUCCACGGACGGAGCCCCGCGGCCUCUCCUGAGCCGGCCGGCCCCCCCACCAGAGGUCAGUGCCCUCCGCGCCCACCCCGUCACCCGCCCGGGGCGCCCCAGCCCCCUCGCGGCUCUCCCCCAAUCCCUCGCUCCCCGAGAGUGGGGCCAGCAGUGUGA